AACGGCCAUACCAGGCUGAAUACACCGGUUCUUGCUAGAUCACUGAAGUCACAUCAUUGGGCGCGGCUGUGCAGUUCUGGGUGGGUGACCACCUGGGAACACCGCGUGCCGU
Caerostris extrusa is the source of this 112-nucleotide non-coding RNA. The record is from the annotation of a GenBank genome assembly. NCBI's taxonomy places the organism in Eukaryota, Metazoa, Arthropoda, Arachnida, Araneae, Araneidae.